RNAcentral lists this ribosomal RNA (120 nucleotides) under Strigamia maritima. Lineage: Eukaryota; Metazoa; Arthropoda; Chilopoda; Geophilomorpha; Linotaeniidae. The record is from RNAcentral.
GAGAACUGUCAUACCAUGCUGAAAACACCGGUUCUUGUCCGAUCCCCCAAAGUUAAGCAGCAUCGGGUCUGGUUAGUACUUGGAUGGGUGACCGUCUGGGAAUCCCAGAUGCAGUUUUCU